RNAcentral lists this ribosomal RNA (785 nucleotides) under uncultured bacterium. Its description in RNAcentral is "bacterial SSU rRNA". It matches the Rfam family "Bacterial small subunit ribosomal RNA", at positions 636 to 1421 of the family's 1533-position model. The record is from RNAcentral.
UNUGACUUGAGUGCAGAAGGGGAGAGUGGAAUNCCAUGUGUAGCGGUGAAAUGCGUAGAUAUAUGGAGGANCACCAGUGGCGAAAGCGGCUCUCUGNUCUGUCACUGACGCUGAGGCUCGAAAGCGUGGGUAGCGANCAGGAUUAGAUACCCUGGUAGUNCACGCCGUAAACGAUGAGUGCUAGGUGUUAGGCCCUUUCCGGGGCUUAGUGCCGGAGCUAACGCAAUAAGCACUCCGCCUGGGGAGUACGACCGCAAGGUUGAAACUCAAAGGAAUUGACGGGGGCCCGCACAAGCGGUGGAGCAUGUGGUUUAAUUCGAAGCAACGCGAAGAACCUUACCAGGUCUUGACAUCCCGAUGCUAUUCUUAGAGAUAGGAAGUUACUUCGGUACAUCGGAGACAGGUGGUGCAUGGUUGUCGUCAGCUCGUGUCGUGAGAUGUUGGGUUAAGUCCCGCAACGAGCGCAACCCUUAUUGUUAGUUGCCAUCAUUAAGUUGGGCACUCUAGCGAGACUGCCGGUAAUAAACCGGAGGAAGGUGGGGAUGACGUCAAAUCAUCAUGCCCCUUAUGACCUGGGCUACACACGUGCUACAAUGGUCGGUACAACGAGUUGCGAGCCGGUGACGGCAAGCUAAUCUCUGAAAGCCGAUCUCAGUUCGGAUUGGAGGCUGCAACUCGCCUCCAUGAAGUCGGAAUCGCUAGUAAUCGCGGAUCAGCACGCCGCGGUGAAUACGUUCCCGGGCCUUGUACACACCGCCCGCCACACCACGAGAGUUUGUAACACC